RNAcentral lists this ribosomal RNA (377 nucleotides) under uncultured bacterium. Its description in RNAcentral is "bacterial SSU rRNA". It matches the Rfam family "Bacterial small subunit ribosomal RNA", at positions 521 to 896 of the family's 1533-position model. The record is from RNAcentral.
UAAUACAGAGGGUGCAAGCGUUGUUCGGAAUUACUGGGCGUAAAGCGCGUGUAGGCGGUCUGGUAAGUCGGUCGUGAAAUCCCUGGGCUUAACCCAGGAACUGCGAUCGAAACUGUUAGACUUGAGUAUCGGAGGGGAUGGCGGAAUUCCUGGUGUAGAGGUGAAAUUCGUAGAUAUCAGGAGGAACACCUGUGGCGAAGGCGGCCAUCUGGAAGAUUACUGACGCUGAGACGCGAAAGCGUGGGGAGCAAACAGGAUUAGAUACCCUGGUAGUCCACGCCGUAAACGAUGAGUGCUAGGUGUUGCGGGUAUUGACCCCUGCAGUGCCAAAGCUAACGCGUUAAGCACUCCGCCUGGGGAGUACGGUCGCAAGAUUA